AAAGAUUUAAUAUUAAAUUCCCAGCAAAACAAAUACAAGCAACAAAGAAUUGAGAAGUACAUGGCAGGUGUGACAACAAAGCUCGCAACAUGCAUUAUAGAAGAAUUAAAAUUACCAUGCACCAUACUCUAAAGCAAAGACAUGGAACAAAUAAACUAAAGGUAAGUGUGCAACCGAUACAAAUGAGCCCCGAAAAAAGAAAAAUACAAAGAAAGCUCACCAGUAACCUUAUUUGAAAGCACAAGUACAUCUUCUUUUCGUCAUAACAAGAUAUCUGAAAAACGUGACCAAGGUGAUAAAAUGAGGAUUCAGUAAUUUAGUCAAUGGUACAAUAAAAUAUGAAAAGAAAAUAGAGUACAAAAAUACUAUUUUGAGAACCAAGUAGGAUAGUGAUUUACAGAAAGUGCAAUUAAUGGAUGAAAAGUGUUCAAGCAAACAUAUUCGAUGUGAGCAAAGACAAGCGGACCGUGAGGGCACCAGUCGAAAACCGGAAACCAAAAAUAAUAAUCUCCAUAUAACACUAAGUAACAAAUCCUUAAAAAACCUAAAGGCUAGAGGCAAUAACCCAAGUCCUAAUCCUAGAGUAAUAAAUCUCAUUCUCUAAACUUCAAAAUGAUGAUUACUAUAACUAAACGAUAAUUGGUAAAUGACUUUUAAGUUUUAACUUUCUAAAGUUACGACCUUGUAGUUCAUUUCCAACGUCACUUAUAGAGUUCUUGUAGCUAUGCUAUUUACUUAAACACAAUUUUGGUUAUAAAUAUUGAAUUUGAUGAUUAUCCAGGUGGAGAGAUCAAUUAUUUGUUCAAUUACUGUCAAACUAUUUCAGACUCAGUAAAGGUGAAGCUAUUUCAGACUCAGAAAAGGUGAAGCAACUGUAUUGAGUUGGGCUACAUGAUAGUAUACCUAAGAUUCUCUGGAGCUAUAGUUCUAUAUUUAUGAUAGUGUGUUAGUAUAUGAUCUACUGGCAUAAUAUGUUGGUGUGUUUGAAAAAUUGUUGUUCCAUAGGCAAGCUCAAGUUGUUUAUACAUUUUAACAUGGACCCUAAAAACUAAUACUACAUUUUAAUUUAUCAUGAUUUCAACACGUAAGAGAGAAAAUGCAUAUUAUGGAGACUUACCCAAGUGCAAGAUAAUGCUCACUACGCCCGUGGAGAUGUAACUCUUGAAGAAGUGAAUGUCAGUGAAUGAGCACGUGCCUGAGAAUAAUUUAGAAAAAAGAAUCACAUGAAUAUUUAAACAAAUCAUAUUUAUCUUUUUUAUUGGGGAAGGAGAGCGGUGGAAUUUGAACCCUAGACCUCACAGACAUGAGUUCGCACCUGUUGGUGUCCCCUUGAGGACAUCAAACAAAUCAUAUUAAUACUUACUACAUUUUGUACAAAAAUUAGUACAUGAAAAAUUAAGAAUAUCAAAGUUUAAUUAAAAUCCUACUUAUUCAUAAUUAAAAAUUAAGAAUGGACAAAUAAACUAAAAUCCUAUUGAUUAUACAUAAUUAUAUCGAGCAUCCCUAUUUUGGAAGCACCCAAUUAGGCAAUUAUAUUUUUGUCUAGUACUUCCAAUGCACCUCCGGAAAUUACUUCAAUCAGUAAACAUUGCAUUAAUAAAUCAAACAAAAAUUAAAGCAAUUACAUUUAAUUAAUUAAUUAAAAUAAAUUUAAGUUAAAACUCUAGGCCCAUUCCUUAAUCCUUAUCAUCAAAUCCAACAUUAUUUCAUUAUCAUCAUAUGUACUCAUGAUCCAUUCCAAACAUACAGUAUUAUUAUCAAUCAAAGAUAGAGACUUAGUUAAAAUUCCCACAAUAUACUGCCCCUGUUCCACGGUGCUCUCUCUACUCUUUGUGUACCCUGUCAACUCUCUCUCUCUCUCAACUCUCUCUCUACUCUUUGUGCACUUCACAUUUGCAACAGAGAGUGAAUCUCAUCCCCAACUAUCAAAUCCCAAAUCCCUCUUCUUCUUCUUCUUCUUCUUCUUUUUCUCCCUUCUUAAUUUACGGCGAAUACCCAGAACGGUUUGUUCUCUCAUCAAUCAGCCGUCCGACUAUAUCUCACCGUCGUUCCCUAUCGUUGACCACACUCCUCAGCUCGGCCUGACAAAUCAGCAGCUAACAAAACUGCGCCGCCGCCGACCAGCACUCUCAACACAGACAACAACACAAGAAAUUGAGCCACAACUCAGCCAAGACUGGUCGUUCCCAAUCGUCGACCCACCCUGCACACCUAAGCUGCUGACGAUGCAGCAGCUUAGUUCUAUAGUUCUAUUGUGUUGUGCUGUGCUCUGUUUUGUGAAAAAAUUCUAGGGUUCAUCAGAAAAUUUAGCGAUAAAAUACAGGUUUACGAAAUCAAAGCUCACCUCCUUGUUUUGUUGGUGCAAUGGAUUUCUUUGGUGUGAUUUUUGGUUGAAUUUUGAUCAGACUUUGCACUUUCACCGUUGAAUUUGGGGUAGAUUCUUACG
RNAcentral lists this long non-coding RNA (2446 nucleotides) under Salvia miltiorrhiza (redroot sage). RNAcentral describes it as "long non-coding RNA (SMIL_LNC006529)". Lineage: Eukaryota; Viridiplantae; Streptophyta; Magnoliopsida; Lamiales; Lamiaceae. The record is from RNAcentral.